CCUACGGGUGGCAGCAGUGAGGAAUAUUGGUCAAUGGACGAGAGUCUGAACCAGCCAAGUAGCGUGAAGGAUGACUGCCCUAUGGGUUGUAAACUUCUUUUAUAUGGGAAUAAAACGUUCCACGUGUGGGAUUUUGUAUGUACCAUAUGAAUAAGGAUCGGCUAACUCCGUGCCAGCAGCCGCGGUAAUACGGAGGAUCCGAGCGUUAUCCGGAUUUAUUGGGUUUAAAGGGAGCGUAGGUGGAUUGUUAAGUCAGUUGUGAAAGUUUGCGGCUCAACCGUAAAAUUGCAGUUGAAACUGGCAGUCUUGAGUACAGUAGAGGUGGGCGGAAUUCGUGGUGUAGCGGUGAAAUGCUGAGAUAUCACGAAGAACUCCGAUUGCGAAGGCAGUUCACUGGACUGCAACUGACACUGAGGCUCGAAAGUGUGGGUAUCAAACAGGAUUAGAUACCCCAGUAGUC
RNAcentral lists this ribosomal RNA (460 nucleotides) under uncultured bacterium. RNAcentral's name for it is "partial 16S ribosomal RNA". It matches the Rfam family "Bacterial small subunit ribosomal RNA", at positions 338 to 795 of the family's 1533-position model. The record is from RNAcentral.